UACGGAGGAUGCAAGCGUUAUCCGGAAUUAUUGGGCGUAAAGCGUCCGCAGGUGGCAUAUCAAGUCUGCUGUCAAAGACCGAAGCUCAACUUCGGGCAGGCGGUGGAAACUGGUAAGCUAGAGUACGGUAGGGGUAGAGGGAAUUUCCAGUGUAGCGGUGAAAUGCGUAGAGAUUGGAAAGAACACCAGUGGCGAAGGCGCUCUACUGGACCUGUACUGACACUCAGGGACGAAAGCUAGGGUAGCAAAUGGG
Molecule: ribosomal RNA, 253 nt
Filed under: uncultured bacterium
Lineage: Bacteria
Description: partial 16S ribosomal RNA
Rfam family: Bacterial small subunit ribosomal RNA
Source: RNAcentral